Non-coding RNA from Camellia sinensis, 1642 nucleotides. The record is from RefSeq and is a predicted model, not a curated record. NCBI's taxonomy places the organism in Eukaryota, Viridiplantae, Streptophyta, Magnoliopsida, Ericales, Theaceae.
AAGGCUUUGGCUUCUAAUGAAAACAAACCCAGAGGGUUUCAUCAAAAGGGAGAAUAGAAUGGACUUCCAUUUAAGUUAAAUUCAAAAGAUGGGUUAGAGAGAGAAGCUCUCUAGAAAACGUUGUCUUCUAGGGUUUCAAUUGUUCAUUGAUUUCCUGAUGUCUGUAGCUAUUGUUACCAUUGAUGAUGAAAAUUUGGUGGUUUUUUCUCAGAAUUGUUUGGGCGAUCUAGGGCUUGAUAACUGUGCGUGUGAAGCACUGUGUGCGUCUGCGAUUAAGACGGUGGAACAUUCUGGUUCCCCUUCUAAAUAGAUGGAAGAAAUCAGAGAGAGAUUGAAUGUGAUGGAAGCAAAUAUUGCCGGGGUAAAUCAGGAGAAGGGUUCGUCUCAUCGAAGAAGGGUUACCUGAUUAUCUUUCUUUUUAUGGUAAACUGCUGCUGCUUCUCUCUCUCUCUCUAAAGCUAGGGUUUCGAAACCACCAUGUCAAGAGGUGUUGAUUGAACGACGGUAGAUUUUUCUGUUUCUUGUGAACUUUUGUUCAGAUUUUUCUAUCACCAUUUGUUCUAUUUCAUGUAUAUGUCUAGUGAUUUUUUUUGGGGGGGGGAGUUUUGAGAAGUUAAGUUUUAAAUUGAAAAUUUAGGGUUUUUAAUUGGGGGUUUUGAUCGAAAAAUUAUGAUUUUGUUGCCAUUGACAAUUUUUCAGGUAAUUUUGAUUUUUGCUUCUAAUGGCUCCUAUUUUACUUUGACCAUUCUUUUUGUUCAAGAUUUUUGCUAGGUUUUUGUUGGAUAGAAAAUUCGUAUAGGGUGAUUCUCUUCCUCGUCUCUCUGUGAUGUUUGCACAUGUUUGUAUGUAUCUAAAUAUUAACAUAUACCUAAAAUCGUGACUUCAUAUGAAGAUGAUUUGUGUUAUGUGUAUGAUGAUUGCUUGUCUUUGUUUCUCUUUGUUGUCUUUGGCUGGUUAUGUUUGUGUAUCUAUGUUUGCUUAGGUAUCUCUAUAUAUCUCUACUUUGUUUCUAUUGUCCCGUAGAGAAGAAAACUAUAUACAUGUUAUUUAUGCCUCUUAGGUGUUUGAUAAAAUGUUGAGUGGUUGGAUCUUACUAGAAUGUAUGCUAAAAUGACAAUGACAUUGGCUACAAGUAGAUAUCAAUACAUUCAUACAGACAACUUACUUUUAAUGUAACACAAUUUUACUCCCAUGUGAUAUAUAUUUCAUAGCUCCAUCUUGGAUGUCCCUAAAUUAUUCUCCAUUUUCAGAAGUCAAUGGAUAGUUUUACUAAAUUUCCCUCAAUGUCUUUCUAAAAUUACUACUAGUUGGCCAAAGAUAAUGCCAAUCCAUGUAAGGGUAAAAUUGAAACCUGCAAUGUAAACACAUUAAAUGAACUUCACUCAAACAUUGUGCUUAUUUCCAAUGUAUUAUAAUUUUGGGUUAUAGCAUGUAAAAUUACAAAUUUAGCUUGUUUCUUUACUUUGAUUGUAUUAAUAAAAAAGCUUGUUUGAACAAAAACUUCUCAAAUAGAACUUAUGUGAAAUUAAGUGUACAAAGAAGAGUGUGUAUAUAUGUUUUAUGUAUAAAAUGUUCCCUUGCUUGAUUCUAGGGGUUGUCAUGUUGGAAACCCAUGCUUCCUUAGAUGUCCCUAAAUGAUUCU